CCUACGGGUGGCUGCAGUGAGGAAUAUUGGGCAAUGGACGCAAGUCUGACCCAGCCAUGCCGCGUGCAGGAAGACAGCCUUAUGGGUUGUAAACUGCUUUUAUCAGGGAAUAACCCCCCGGUCGAGUAUCGGGGCUGAAGGUACCUGAAGAAUAAGCAUCGGCUAACUCCGUGCCAGCAGCCGCGGUAAUACGGAGGAUGCAAGCGUUAUCCGGAUUUAUUGGGUUUAAAGGGUGCGCAGGCGGGUUUGUAAGUCAGCGGUGAAAUCCUACGGCUCAACCGUAGAACUGCCAUUGAUACUGCAGACCUUGAGUGUAUUUGAAGUGGGCGGAAUGUAGCAUGUAGCGGUGAAAUGCAUAGAUAUGCUACAGAACACCAAUUGCGAAGGCAGCUCACUAAACUACAACUGACGCUCAUGCACGAAAGCGUGGGGAGCAAACAGGAUUAGAUACCCCAGUAGUC
RNAcentral lists this ribosomal RNA (461 nucleotides) under uncultured Bacteroidota bacterium. RNAcentral's name for it is "bacterial SSU rRNA". It matches the Rfam family "Bacterial small subunit ribosomal RNA", at positions 338 to 795 of the family's 1533-position model. Lineage: Bacteria; Pseudomonadati; Bacteroidota. The record is from RNAcentral.